This 485-nucleotide ribosomal RNA is filed under the name uncultured bacterium. RNAcentral's name for it is "partial 16S ribosomal RNA". It matches the Rfam family "Bacterial small subunit ribosomal RNA", at positions 28 to 523 of the family's 1533-position model. The record is from RNAcentral.
GACGAACGCUGGCGGCGUGCUUCAUACAUGCAAGUCGAGCGGGGUCCAUCCAGUGGCAACACUGGUGAAGACCUAGCGGCGAACGGGUGAGUAACACGUGAGGAACCUGCCCCAGAGACCGGGAUAACCCUCCGAAAGGAGAGCUAAUACCGGAUGCCCCCACCGGAUCGCAUGGUCUGGUGAGGCAAUGGAUUCCGCUCUGGGAGGGCCUCGCGGCCUAUCAGCUUGUUGGUGAGGUAACGGCUCACCAAGGCGUCGACGGGUAGCUGGUCUGAGAGGACGGUCAGCCACACUGGGACUGAGACACGGCCCAGACUCCUACGGGAGGCAGCAGUAGGGAAUCUUGCGCAAUGGGCGAAAGCCUGACGCAGCAACGCCGCGUGGGGGAUGAAGGCUCUCGGGUUGUAAACCCCUUUCAGCAGGGACGAUUAUGACGGUACCUGCAGAAGAAGGACCGGCCAACUACGUGCCAGCCGCCGCGGUAA